AACGCACAUUGCGCCCCUUGGUAUUCCAUGGGGCAUGCCUGUUCGAGCGUCAUUUGUGUCUUCAAGCUUUGCUUGGUGUUGGGUGUUUGUUCUGCUCUGUGCGUGGACUCGCCUUAAAUCCAUUGGCAGCCGGUAAUCUGGUGUGAAGAGCGCAGCACAUUGUGCGCUCCUCGCUGUGUAUUGCGGCGUCCAUUAAGCCUAUAUUUUUUUGCUCUUGACCUCGGAUCAGGUAGGGAUACCCGCUGAACUUAA
This 252-nucleotide unclassified non-coding RNA is filed under the name uncultured Pleosporales. RNAcentral's name for it is "sequence contains 5.8S rRNA gene, ITS2, 28S rRNA gene". The record is from RNAcentral. Lineage: Eukaryota; Fungi; Ascomycota; Dothideomycetes; Pleosporales.